Long non-coding RNA from Gorilla gorilla gorilla (western lowland gorilla), 1646 nucleotides. RefSeq lists it as uncharacterized. NCBI's taxonomy places the organism in Eukaryota, Metazoa, Chordata, Mammalia, Primates, Hominidae. The transcript is spliced from 2 exons. The record is from RefSeq and is a predicted model, not a curated record.
AAGAGUGGCUUAUCACUGGACCUCACACAUAGGUGAUGUAACGCUUCUGUCUAGGGUAAUUGUGACAUGUUCCUGUGCCCGUCACCCAGAUAAUGUGACUCUUCUCUUUUCCUGAGACCUUCCUGCAGUGGAGAUUGUGACAUAUUACUUGGCCCAGUACCUAUGUAAUGUGACUCUUCUCUCACACCAUUGAUUUGCACCUAGGGUAGUUGUGACAUAUAGCUGGGCUCAGCCCCUGGGUUAUGUGACUCUUUUGAUUAUCCUCAGCUCCACCUGCAAGGAGCACUGGGAAAUAUAUCUUUGGGCCCCUCAAUUAGGUGAUGUGACUCCCCUUCCUGGACUCUUUCCUCAGGAGGUAUUGUGACAUAUUCCUGGACCAAGUACCCAGGUAAUGUAACUCUUUUCUACUGCUUGGACUCUACCCAAGGAGAGAUUCUAAUGUAUCACUGGACCCAGCACCUAGGUUAUGUGACUUUCCUCUUGUGUCUGAGUCUUGCAUAAAUUGUGUAUUGUGACAAAUAACUGGGUCUAAAACCUAGUUGAUGAGACUCUUCUGCAUGGGCCCUGCCUACAGGGGUAUUAUGACAUAUCUUCUUUUUUUUUUAAUCACCUAUGUGAUGUGCCUUUGUUUGCAUGUGUGUGCGUCCUGGCCCUGCCAAAAGUGGGGAUUGUAACAUAUCACUAAACUUAGUACCAGGGUGUUAUGAUUCUCCUUGUUUGCCUGGGCCCUGCAUAUAUUAGGUACUGUGACGUAUGUGUGAGACAAACACCUAGAGCAUGAAAGCCUCUUGCCUGGGUCCUGGCCACAAGGAGCCUUUUGGCUUAUCUCUCCAUCCAUGAACUAGGAGAUGUGACUCUUCUUUUCUGUCUGGGUUCUGCAAAAACAAGUGAUUGUGACAUAUCAUCAAACCCAGCAACUAGACGAUGUGAUUUUUCUUCCCUGCUUGAGCCCUGGAUAUGCUGUGUAUUGUGAUAUAUGGCUGGGUCCAACAUCAAGGUAAUGUGACUCUCCUAAAUGGACUCUGCCCACAGGAGUAUUAUGACAUAUCUUUACAUUUAUCACCUUGGUUAUGUGACUCUUUUUAUUUCCCUGAGCCCUCUUGAAUUAGGAAUUGUGUCGUACCACUGAACCUAGCACCUAGGUGAUGUGACUUUGUUUUAUUUCCUGGGUCUUGCAUUUUUUAAGUAUUGUGACAUGUCCCUGAGCACAACACCUAAAGAAUUGGGAGGUACCUGCUUGUACUCUGCCUAUGGGGGGUGGGGGGCAUUGUGACAUAUCUCUGGGCCCAUCAACUGCUUCAUUUGACCCUCCUCUCCUACACAUGCUUUGUCAAUAGGAGAGAUUGUGACAUAUCUCUGGAACCAGAACCUUAGUGAUGUGACUCUUCUCUCCUGCUGAAGCCAUGCCCACACAAGGGAAAGUGACUUAUCACUGGGCCCAGCACACAGCGCUAUUCACAGGGAAAAUAGUGACACAUCUGUGGGGUUCUCACCGAAAUGAUGUGACUCUCCUGCCUGGGCUCGCCUCUCAAGGGAAUUGUGACAUAUUACUGGACCAAGCACCUAGGUGAUGUGGCUCUGACAAAGGAGAAAUUGUGAUGUACCACUGUUUCCAGCACCUAAGAGAUUUGACUCUCUUUUCAUGA